Long non-coding RNA from Nycticebus coucang (slow loris), 678 nucleotides. RefSeq lists it as uncharacterized. The record is from RefSeq and is a predicted model, not a curated record. The transcript has 3 exons. Lineage: Eukaryota; Metazoa; Chordata; Mammalia; Primates; Lorisidae.
CCCCUUCUAGCAAGCCGGUGAACCUCUACAGGUUCUCAUGGAAACUUAGCCUGAAUCCUUGCUGUGAACAACAUCUACCAGAUCCUGCUAUGCACGUCAGGACCCCAGGGGCAGUCUAAGACUCUAAGGCUAAGGGAUGUCACGUGUUUUGAAGAAAGAGAUGCUGAAAGUUAUCUUAAACGAAAACCUCAGAGAAGACAAGCAGAGAAAGGCAGAUGUGCAGAGUGAACCACUUGCAGGGCCAAGAACAGGGAGCUGUGGUGCUGAUCCAAUGCUGUCGAAGUUAAGAGGAUGAAUUGGCUGGAGAUAGAAAGAUGCUAGCAGUGAUUGUUCAGGCCACAGAAAGCAGUCCUUAGCUUUAAAUGAUCAAUUUUCAAUAAUCUACCUUAUUGAAGUGGCACUGUGGUGUGGGUACACUUUAUUUAGAACAAUGAGAUUUGGAUAUAUGUGAACACGCUUUGUAAAAUAUAAAACAUUACAAAAACCUGAGACAUUUAUAGCCUCAGAAACAGUUUUCUUGAGAAGAAUCUGGACACUCAUUAAUUGACAAUGGGGGACUAUAGGUCACACAAGUCCUAAGUUAGAAAUCAGUACUUGAAUUAAAUUUUAUGUCGGUAAUUUACAAAAUAACUAAGUGACUAUGAAGUGAACUAUAAAAGUGUGGGGUGUUCAUUUUUG